RNAcentral lists this transfer RNA (87 nucleotides) under Proteus vulgaris. Its description in RNAcentral is "tRNA-Leu". It matches the Rfam family "tRNA". Rfam says of the family: Transfer RNA (tRNA) molecules are approximately 80 nucleotides in length. Their secondary structure includes four short double-helical elements and three loops (D, anti-codon, and T loops). Further hydrogen bonds mediate the characteristic L-shaped molecular structure. tRNAs have two regions of fundamental functional importance: the anti-codon, which is responsible for specific mRNA codon recognition, and the 3' end, to which the tRNAs corresponding amino acid is attached (by aminoacyl-tRNA synthetases). tRNAs cope with the degeneracy of the genetic code in two manners: having more than one tRNA (with a specific anti-codon) for a particular amino acid; and 'wobble' base-pairing, i.e. permitting non-standard base-pairing at the 3rd anti-codon position. Lineage: Bacteria; Pseudomonadati; Pseudomonadota; Gammaproteobacteria; Enterobacterales; Morganellaceae. RNAcentral also lists the same sequence under 1 other name. The record is from RNAcentral.
GCGAGGAUGGCGGAAUUGGUAGACGCGCUAGCUUCAGGUGUUAGUGUUCUUACGGAUGUGGGGGUUCAAGUCCCCCUCUUCGCACCA